RNAcentral lists this ribosomal RNA (395 nucleotides) under uncultured bacterium. RNAcentral's name for it is "bacterial SSU rRNA". It matches the Rfam family "Bacterial small subunit ribosomal RNA", at positions 505 to 898 of the family's 1533-position model. The record is from RNAcentral.
GUGUCAGCCGCCGCGGUAAUACGGAGGGUGCAAGCAUUGAUCGGAAUUACUGGGCGUAAAGGGCGCGUAGGCGGUUAGGAAAGUCAGAUGUGAAAUUCCGGGGCUCAACUCCGGAGCUGCAUUUGAAACUUCCAGACUAGAGUACAGUUAGGGAAAACGGAAUUCCACGUGUAGCGGUGAAAUGCGUAGAUAUGUGGAAGAACACCGGUGGUGAAGACGGUUUUCUGGGCUGAAACUGACGCUGAGGCGCGAAAGCAAGGGGAGCAAACAGGAUUAGAUACCCUGGUAGUCCUUGCCUUAAACGAUGCAUACUAGACGUAGGGGGGCUCAACCCUUUCUGUGUCGGAGCUAACGCAUUAAGUAUGCCGCCUGGGGAGUACGCUCGCAAGGGUGAA